This is a small nucleolar RNA of Suncus etruscus (white-toothed pygmy shrew), 134 nucleotides long. RefSeq annotates it as small nucleolar RNA SNORA51. NCBI's taxonomy places the organism in Eukaryota, Metazoa, Chordata, Mammalia, Eulipotyphla, Soricidae. The record is from RefSeq and is a predicted model, not a curated record. The transcript has a single exon.
GACCUCCCAAUUCUUACUACAGGCUGUGUUCUUUACACUGACUGUAUAGAAAGAGGAGGUACAGUAAAUGCACCUCAUAUACGCCUCAACACAGGCCCUUUGCCUGGUCUGUAUUAUGAAAUGGGGGGAAAAUG